CUUGAAACUCCUGCUUUCAGAGGAAACUGCAGAGUUGGAGCUUGAAAAGUUGCACUCUACUUGCAAAGAAUGGGGCCUUUUCCAGUUGGUGAAUCAUGGAGUCAGCUCUUCAUUGCUGGAAAAUAUGAGGAACGAGAUUGAAGAAUUUUAUAAUCUUCCAUUAGAGGAGAAAAUGAAAUACAAGAUAAGGCAAGGUGAUGUUGAAGGGUAUGGAACAAUGGCCAGAGUAGGAGGAAUUUUCGAUUGGGGUGAUAAACUCUCCAUGAUAACCAACCCUAUCCAUAGGAGAAAGCCUCACCUUCUCCCAGAGCUCCCUUCAUCUUUGAGAAAUAACUUGGAAAGUUAUAUACUCGAACUGCAAAAACUAUCCAUGA
This 374-nucleotide unclassified non-coding RNA is filed under the name Hevea brasiliensis (rubber tree). Lineage: Eukaryota; Viridiplantae; Streptophyta; Magnoliopsida; Malpighiales; Euphorbiaceae. The record is from RNAcentral.